RNAcentral lists this ribosomal RNA (231 nucleotides) under Triticum aestivum (bread wheat). RNAcentral's name for it is "partial small subunit ribosomal RNA". The record is from RNAcentral. Lineage: Eukaryota; Viridiplantae; Streptophyta; Magnoliopsida; Poales; Poaceae.
AUGGAUAUGUCACUAGGAGUCUUGGUAUGGAAUGUUAGGGGGCUCAAUAACCCCGCUAGGCGAUGCUCGAUCCAGUUGUUUAUGCAGACUUGCAAUGUACCUCUUGUUUGUUUUCAAGAAUCCAAGUUGGCUGUUGUGGACUCGGUGGUGAUAAACCAGACUCUCGGGCCAGGUUUUGAUGAUUUUGAUUUCUUGCCAGCGGUGGGCACUAGGGGUGGUAUUCUGUUGGCA